Molecule: ribosomal RNA, 253 nt
Filed under: uncultured bacterium
Lineage: Bacteria
Description: partial 16S ribosomal RNA
Rfam family: Bacterial small subunit ribosomal RNA
Source: RNAcentral
UACGGGGGGGGCAAGCGUUGUUCGGAAUUACUGGGCGUAAAGGGCUCGUAGGCGGCCAACUAAGUCGGACGUGAAAUCCCUCGGCUUAACCGGGGAACUGCAUCCGAUACUGGAGGGCUUGAGUUUGGGAGAGGGAUGCGGAAUUCCAGGUGUAGCGGUGAAAUGCGUAGAUAUCUGGAGGAACACCGGUGGCGAAGGCGGCAUUCUGGACCAUUACUGACGCUGAGGAGCGAAAGCCAGGGGAGCAAACGGG